RNAcentral lists this ribosomal RNA (373 nucleotides) under uncultured bacterium. Its description in RNAcentral is "bacterial SSU rRNA". It matches the Rfam family "Bacterial small subunit ribosomal RNA", at positions 523 to 898 of the family's 1533-position model. The record is from RNAcentral.
ACACGUAAGGGGCAAGCGUUGUUCGGAAUUAUUGGGCGUAAAGGGCAUGUAGGCGGUUCGGUAAGCCUGGUGUGAAAGGCUGCAGCUUAACUGUAGCAUUGCAUUGGGUACUGCCGGACUUGAAUCACGGAGGGGAAACUAGAAUUCCAGGUGUAGGGGUGGAAUCUGUAGAUAUCUGGAAGAAUACCGGUGGCGAAGGCGGGUUUCUGGCCGAUGAUUGACGCUGAGGUGCGAAAGUGCGGGGAGCAAACAGGAUUAGAUACCCUGGUAGUCCGCACCGUAAACGAUGUACACUAGGUGUAGGGGCAUGAGUCUCUGUGCCAAAGCUAACGUGAUAAGUGUACCGCCUGGGAAGUAUGCCCGCAAGGGUGAA